Molecule: small RNA, 707 nt
Filed under: Pongo abelii (Sumatran orangutan)
Lineage: Eukaryota; Metazoa; Chordata; Mammalia; Primates; Hominidae
Description: retained intron
Source: RNAcentral
CGUCCGGGUUUGGAGACUCCUGCGUCCUCCGACUUUUCAUGGAAGAGAUGUCAGGAGAAAGUGUGGUGAGCUCAGCGGUGCCAGCGGCUGCUACCCGCACCACUUCCUUCAAGGGCACAAGCCCCAGCUCCAAAUACGUGAAGCUGAAUGUGGGUGGAGCCCUCUACUAUACCACCAUGCAGACACUGACCAAGCAGGACACCAUGCUGAAGGCCAUGUUCAGCGGGCGCAUGGAAGUGCUCACCGACAGUGAAGGUAAGCUUAGCCGCCACGUGCCUGCCUCUGGCCAUGCGUUAUGUGGUCAAGGAGGGCUUCCCGGAAGAAGUGACAUUUAAGUCGAGACCUGAAGAUGUGUCGAGGCAGCUUGUCAGGGACUCCCACCAUCUUGCUUGGUUGUCUAUUUGCUAUGUUACUUUGAGAAAGUCACUUCCUCACCCAGGCCUUAGCUUGCUUAUCUCUGCCAUGCUUCUGUGACUUCAGAGUGAAACUCAAGCCUGGGAGAGAGAGAGGUGUCUUCCCUGGACCCUUGUCCUCCCAAGAUGGGGUCUUGACAAAGACUUGCCAACCUGGGUUUGAAUCCCAGCUCCCCAUUUAGUAUCUGGUGAUCCUAACCAAGUGGCCGAAUCUUUUGGUCUCAUUUUCUUCCUCUGGUGAAAUGGGCAUGACAAUACCCCCCAACAUGGGGCCAUUGGCACAUAGUCAGUAUU